UAGUAAGAUCGCAAAGGUCGCUGUACAAUCGUAGCGAGAGCGUAGCGAAAGCGUGAUUCUAUUCGGAGAGACUGCGCUACGAUCGCACAGCGACGUUAUAACGACCUCACUACGACCAUCACGUUCUCACUGCGACCCAACUACGCUUCCACUACGACUAUACCACGCUGUUCACGACCAUAGUACGAUUCUAGCACGCCCUUGCCGUCCUCAUCACGCUCUUCUUACGACCUGACUACGUUCACACUACGACCAUCAUUCUCAUUGUCAUUUUCACAUAAAAUAUAUAAAAAUGCUCCCUAGAUUUUGUUUGUUUGAAUGUAAUUAUCCAUUUGCUCUAACGGUUCAACCAUGCUUCUCGUUUUUAUAUAGAUUAGACCGUUGGUUUUCCCGUUUAAAUGGUUUAACACUAGUAAUAUUUUGGGUCCUUUAUAACGUGCUGAUUGAUGUGAGCCAAGGCUCCGCGUUGAAGGCCGUACCGUGGCCUAUAAUGGUUUACUUUUAUAAAUUGUUACUUGGAUAGAAAGUUGUCUCAUUGGCACUCAUACCACAUCUUCCUAUAUAUAUUGAUACAUCUAUGUCAUCUCUGUUAUCGUUCACUAAAAUAUCGUCAUUGAGCUUCAUGGACCAGCAAUAGGUUGUAAUUUAGGUUGGAUUGGUCGGUCCGACAUCUCUGCUUGAUCAGGAUUCGUUACUUUGCUCCCUCUGCCUCUACAUAAACUCCUACCACCAUGCCCACGUGUUCUGGUAGAUUUUGGUGGCAUGACUGUAUUGUUUCCGAGAAAUCUACGAUUUAAUCAGAAAUAGAAGGAAUUGAACUGUAUUGAUAUGGAACACGAUGUUGACGUUAUUGCUGAGAACGUAGUAAGAUCGCGCUAUGAACGUAGUAUAAUCGUGGUAAGAACGUGUAAUAAUCGCAGUAAGAUCGUGUUGCAAUCGGAUAACUCGUGGUAUGGUCGUAGUGAGAACGUGAAGAGCGUAGAAAGAUCUUGAUAAGCGUAGUGAGGUCGCAGAAUAAGCGCGGUGAGAACGUGGUAUAAUCGUAGCGGGAUCUUUGUAGAAGCGUAGAGAUGACGUAGUAGCAUCGUGAAAGCAACGAAAAUUUACAUUUUCAUGCCGCUCAUACCGCGACCUCACCACGAUCUAAAUUUAUUUUAGAUCGCGGUGAGCGUGGUGCGAUCGUGGUCUAGUGGGACUGGGGCUUAAA
This 1207-nucleotide long non-coding RNA is filed under the name Mytilus galloprovincialis (Mediterranean mussel). The record is from RNAcentral. Lineage: Eukaryota; Metazoa; Mollusca; Bivalvia; Mytilida; Mytilidae.